GGAUGAGCCCAGCGCCGAAUCCCCGGCUUAACUGUCGUGGGAAAUGUGGCGUGAGGGAGUGAGCGUGCCGGGUUCGCCCACGGACGGCAAGUCCCCCUGACCGGGGCCUAUCCAGAGCGGGUGCGAGACCCAUAGCCGUCCGGAGCGUCUCGGAAUGCGAUCUCCUAGGAGUCGGGUUGCUUGAGAGUGCAGCCCUAAGCGGGUGGUAAACUCCACCUAAGGCUAAAUACCGCCGUGAGACCGAUAGCAAACAAGUACCGUGAGGGAAAGUUGCAAAGAACUUUGAAGAGAGAGUUCAAGAGUACGUGAAACUGCUCAGAGGUAAACAGGUGGGCCCUCGAAAUCCUGUGGCGAGAGGAUUCAGUCUGGCGCCCUGGAGGCGCGUGGUCGGACCAAUGAGGCUUCCCGGAGAUCGGGGCCGUCCGAUCGCGCCGUUUCGGGCGCGGCCGACGCAUUUGACUCUCGCCCGAAGGACGCAGCAACCGGUCGGGCCGCAGAAAGCACGACGGCCUGAAGGGCGAAGACAGGCAGGUGGCCGGAGGAGCACGCCCCACGUGUGUUCCCUCGGUUGUUAGCCGCUUCGUCGGUGGCUCGUCGCCCGACCGUGGUGUCGCAAUGCCCCCCUGCGGGGCUUCUCCGCCUCCUCCGCAAUCGGAAGAGGGACUGACCGCCGAUGGCAUGGCAGACCGUUCGGCAGCACCCACCAGGGUGUCCCGUUCGGUGCCGCGACGUCGCACGCGGCGGCGGACCCUUCGGAGGUCGGAGGCUAGCUGCGAGUAGGUCGGUCACCCACCUGACCCGUCUUGAAACACGGACCAAGGAGUCUAACAUGUGCGCGAGUCAGUGGGUCUUGAACAGGCCCAGAGGCGCAAUGAAAGCAAAGGCCCGCGUCACGCGGGCCGAGUCGGGAUCCUUCCCCGACCAGGGGCGAGGCGCACCGACGACCCGUCCCGUCCGGCUCGCCGGUGGGGCGGAGUACGAGCGCACACGUUGGGACCCGAAAGAUGGUGACCUAUGCCCGGACAGGACGAGGCCAGAGGAAACUCUGGUGGAGGUCCGCAGCGGUUCUGACGUGCAAAUCGAUCGUCA
Molecule: ribosomal RNA, 1089 nt
Filed under: Allococalodes madidus
Lineage: Eukaryota; Metazoa; Arthropoda; Arachnida; Araneae; Salticidae
Description: eukaryotic LSU rRNA
Rfam family: Eukaryotic large subunit ribosomal RNA
Source: RNAcentral